CAGUGAUGUUCUCUGCUGUAGAUGCAGCGCGACGCAGCACGGCGAAUCCUUGACAUGUGGUGAAAAGACAAGAACAUGUGACGAGGCAUCUGGCCCUCAGAUUCACCAGUAAAAAGCUUCUUCUGCUGUUUGUCCCAUGACCCCCCGUGCGAGCCUGACACACACCUUGACCUCCACAAAAAUACGAGAGCUUUCAUGCAAUACAAAUAUUAAUGGUAAGAAGCUCAUCUAAAGUUUUUUAUAAGAGAGGUUUUCUAGCUAAUAUUAGCUUAGUCUAUUAAUUAAUUAUCAAAGUUAAUUGAAGGGUUAAACCUAGAAAAUAUAGUUUCACUCACUCACUCACAUUUAAUUAACUUGUUUGAGAAGGUAGUUUCUACUGUGGUUACAGCCAAACAGUUUUAGGAAUCCAUAUUUGAUAUACAGAUUAUAUAUAAUAGUUAAAUUAUCACAAAUUCUAACUGUCUGAAUGUUAAUACAGUACAGGAUAUGUUGGAAACAUUUUCAUGCACUUGAGUUGAAAGUAUUUGGACUUCAGGUGUUAUGUUCUAGUGCUUUGUUUUGUUCAGACACAGCUUUCAGUUUGUAUCGCUAUACAUUGUUUUCGUUUUUGGGACUGAUGAACCAUGACAGAACAGUUCUUUUUCCAUUCCACAUAUCCCUCAAAAGAGCUAAAACGGCCUCAGUAUCAGCUACCUUUUGACAGGUAUGAGAGAUUGCCAGCGUGUGUUCCUUGGGAACUGAACCCAUGAACGCAACUUUGUUAGCGCCAUGCUCUACCAGUCAAACUACAGCAACAAUAUAACUGUUGUUGGAAAUUUACAAUAAAGGACAUCUUUGGUUUACAAACUGCCAUUAAAAGCAGAGCACAGUAAUUUGUAUUAGAUUAGCGGACCC
This is a long non-coding RNA of Cyprinus carpio carpio, 894 nucleotides long. Lineage: Eukaryota; Metazoa; Chordata; Actinopteri; Cypriniformes; Cyprinidae. The record is from Ensembl.